UACGGAGGAUGCAAGCGUUAUCCGGAAUGAUUGGGCGUAAAGCGUCCGCAGGUGGCUGUGUAAGUCUGCUGUCAAAGAGCAAAGCUCAACUUUGUAAAGGCAGUGGAAACUACACGGCUAGAGUGCGUUCGGGGCAGAGGGAAUUCCUGGUGUAGCGGUGAAAUGCGUAGAGAUCAGGAAGAACCCCGGUGGCGGAGGCGCCCUGCUAGGCCGCAACUGACACUGAGGGACGAAAGCUAGGGGAGCGAAUGGG
This 253-nucleotide ribosomal RNA is filed under the name uncultured bacterium. Its description in RNAcentral is "partial 16S ribosomal RNA". It matches the Rfam family "Bacterial small subunit ribosomal RNA", at positions 524 to 776 of the family's 1533-position model. The record is from RNAcentral.